This 574-nucleotide ribosomal RNA is filed under the name uncultured archaeon. Its description in RNAcentral is "bacterial SSU rRNA". It matches the Rfam family "Archaeal small subunit ribosomal RNA", at positions 741 to 1313 of the family's 1478-position model. The record is from RNAcentral.
GUAGUCCCAGCUGUAAACGAUGCAGACUCGGUGAUGCAUUGGCUUGUGGCCAAUGCAGUGCCGCAGGGAAGCCGUUAANNNNNCCGCCUGGGAAGUACGUACGCAAGUAUGAAACUUAAAGGAAUUGGCGGGGGAGCACCACAAGGGGUGAAGCCUGCGGUUCAAUUGGAGUCAACGCCAGAAAUCUUACCUGGGGAGACAGCAGAAUGAAGGUCAAGCUGAAGACUUUACCAGACACGCUGAGAGGUGGUGCAUGGCCGUCGCCAGCUCGUGCCGUGAGAUGUCCUGUUAAGUCAGGUAACGAGCGAGACCCCUGCGUCUAGUUGCUACCAUUACUCUCUGGAGCAGUGGAGCGAAUUAGACGGACCGCCACAGUUAAUGUGGAGGAAGGAAGGGGCCACGGCAGGUCAGUAUGCCCCGAAACCCUAGGGCUACACGCGGGCUGCAAUGGUAUUGACAAUGUGUUCCGAAUCCGAAAGGAGGAGGCAAUCAUCAAACAAUAUCUCAGUUAUGACUGAGGGCUGUAACUCGCCCUCACGAAUAUGGAAUCCCUAGUAACCGCGCGUCACUACCG